UAAUAGUGAACCCCUGGGCCACUGAAGAGUA
This 31-nucleotide non-coding RNA is filed under the name Homo sapiens (human). Lineage: Eukaryota; Metazoa; Chordata; Mammalia; Primates; Hominidae. The record is from RNAcentral.